This 845-nucleotide ribosomal RNA is filed under the name uncultured bacterium. Its description in RNAcentral is "bacterial SSU rRNA". It matches the Rfam family "Bacterial small subunit ribosomal RNA", at positions 58 to 916 of the family's 1533-position model. The record is from RNAcentral.
CAAGUCGAACGGCAGCACGGGAGCUUGCUCCUGGUGGCGAGUGGCGGACGGGUGAGUAACACGUAGGAAUCUGCCUAGUAGUGGGGGAUAACCCGGGGAAACCCGAGCUAAUACCGGAUACCUUCCUUUGGUCGCAUGGCUAUUGGAAGAAAGAUUUAUCGCUUCGGGAGGGGCUCGCGGCCUAUCAGCUAGUUGGUGAGGUAACGGCUCACCAAGGCAUCGACGGGUAGCUGGUCUGAGAGGACGAUCAGCCACACUGGGACUGAGACACGGCCCAGACUCCUACGGGAGGCAGCAGUGGGGAAUCUUGCGCAAUGGGCGAAAGCCUGACGCAGCAACGCCGCGUGCGAGAGGAAGGCCUUAGGGUUGUAAAUCGCUUUCGGCAGGGACGAAAUUGACGGUACCUGCAGAAGGAGCCCCGGCCAACUACGUGCCAGCAGCCGCGGUAACACGUAGGGGGCGAGCGUUGUCCGGAUUUAUUGGGCGUAAAGAGCUCGUAGGCGGCUCAGUAAGUCUGCUGUUAAAGCUCCAGGCUCAACCUGGAGAGGCCAGUGGAUACUGCUGUGGCUAGAGUCCGGUAGGGGAGCGUGGAAUUCCCAGUGUAGCGGUGGAAUGCGCAGAUAUUGGGAGGAACACCAGCGGCGAAGGCGGCGCUCUGGACCGGAACUGACGCUGAGGAGCGAAAGCGUGGGUAGCAAACAGGAUUAGAUACCCUGGUAGUCCACGCCGUAAACGUUGGGCACUAGGUGUGGGAUCCCGUCAACGGAUUCCGUGCCGUAGCUAACGCAUUAAGUGCCCCGCCUGGGGAGUACGGCCGCAAGGCUAAAACUCAAAGGAAUUGACGG